UAGAGUUUGGAUCCUGGCUCAGAUUGAACGCUGGCGGCAGGCCUAACACAUGCAAGUCGAGCGGCAGCGACAUAAACAAUCCUUCGGGUGCGYUUAUGGGCGGCGAGCGGCGGACGGGUGAGUAAUGCCUGGGAAUAUGCCCUGAUGUGGGGGAUAACCAUUGGAAACGAUGGCUAAUACCGCAUAAUCUCUUCGGAGCAAAGAGGGGGACCUUCGGGCCUCUCGCGUCAGGAUUAGCCCAGGUGAGAUUAGCUAGUUGGUGAGGUAAGGGCUCACCAAGGCGACGAUCUCUAGCUGGUCUGAGAGGAUGAUCAGCCACACUGGAACUGAGACACGGUCCAGACUCCUACGGGAGGCAGCAGUGGGGAAUAUUGCACAAUGGGGGAAACCCUGAUGCAGCCAUGCCGCGUGUGUGAAGAAGGCCUUCGGGUUGUAAAGCACUUUCAGUCGUGAGGAAGGC
Molecule: ribosomal RNA, 460 nt
Filed under: Photobacterium sp. EF1A-B235
Lineage: Bacteria; Pseudomonadati; Pseudomonadota; Gammaproteobacteria; Vibrionales; Vibrionaceae
Description: bacterial SSU rRNA
Rfam family: Bacterial small subunit ribosomal RNA
Source: RNAcentral